GAUGAACGCUGGCGGCGUGCCUAAUACAUGCAAGUAGAACGCUGAAGGAAGGAGCUUGCUCUUUCCGGAUGAGUUGCGAACGGGUGAGUAACGCGUAGGUAACUUGCCUGGUAGCGGGGAUAACUAUUGGAAACGAUAGCUAAUACCGCAUAACAGUAGAUGUUGCAUGAUAUCUACUUAAAAGGUGCAAUUGCACCACUACCAGAUGGACCUGCGUUGUAUUAGCUAGUUGGUGAGGUAACGGCUCACCAAGGCGACGAUACAUAGCCGACCUGAGAGGGUGAUCGGCCACACUGGGACUGAGACACGGCCCAGACUCCUACGGGAGGCAGCAGUAGGGAAUCUUCGGCAAUGGACGGAAGUCUGACCGAGCAACGCCGCGUGAGUGAAGAAGGGUUUCGGAUCGUAAAGCUCUGUUGUAAGAGAAGAACGAGUGUGAGAGUGGAAAGUUCACACUGUGACGGUAUCUUACCAGAAAGGGACGGCUAACUACGUG
This 496-nucleotide ribosomal RNA is filed under the name uncultured bacterium. RNAcentral describes it as "partial 16S ribosomal RNA". It matches the Rfam family "Bacterial small subunit ribosomal RNA", at positions 28 to 507 of the family's 1533-position model. The record is from RNAcentral.